This is a long non-coding RNA of Rhineura floridana, 595 nucleotides long. RefSeq lists it as uncharacterized. The transcript is spliced from 3 exons. NCBI's taxonomy places the organism in Eukaryota, Metazoa, Chordata, Lepidosauria, Squamata, Rhineuridae. The record is from RefSeq and is a predicted model, not a curated record.
UUUCUAACUUCCUUUAGACAGGUGUCUGAUUGACUUACUUAUAUUUCUUUAAAAUGAAAUCUAAGAGUCCAGGCCCUGUCAGUACUGCCUGUACCCCCCUGUAAGUGGCCCUGUGCAGGAUUAGUUUAUGUUGCUCCUAGGAGGGAACUGGACCCUAAAGAAUGGCCACUUUAACUGCCCACAUUAACAACAUUUUAACAAGGCAGCCCUAAAACAAAAGGCUGGAAUAGGAGGACAGAAUAACAACUGUGAUUUACCAGAGACGGAGGUUAUCAGAAAACAGAGACUGUUACUGGUAAAUGGGGACAGCCAAUGUCUUUGUAGGGGAGUUGAAGUUGGAGAUGACAUCAAACAGAAAUUCAAGGAACAUGUUGUGAGUCAGGGAUUUCCUGAGAACAGCAUCAGAUACUAUGAGAAAGCUGAGUGCCCACAUGGAACCGGAAAAUGAUGAUUAACUCUGCAACAAGGACAAAAGAGACACUUAUAUACUAUUGUAGUUAUACCCCAAAACUACUGAUAAUUGGUUCUAUUUUACUAUUUCUGUCAUCUUUGUUUAAAAGCUUCAUUCUUUCUUUGCAUAUCAAUAAAAAUACUU